Molecule: long non-coding RNA, 10052 nt
Organism: Gorilla gorilla gorilla (western lowland gorilla)
Lineage: Eukaryota; Metazoa; Chordata; Mammalia; Primates; Hominidae
Exons: 2
Source: RefSeq, a predicted model, not a curated record
UUAUUGUUUUUUUCUUGUUAUUGAUAUCUUGGUGGAAGGCUGGGGGUUAACUGUAUAAUAAAAUAUGCUGACUUUGAAAAUUUCUGAUUUUACAACCAUCAGAGUAGAUACUUUUGUACUUAAGUCAUUCUCCUUUCUCUCUCCUUGUAAAUUAGUGUUUUAUUCAUCUUUUUCAGAGAUUAAGAUUUUUCAUAUUGGUACAUUUUAGUUACAAUUGAGCUCUUUUUAGAUGCUAAUACUAAUAUACAUAAAGACUAGGAUAUAUAAGUUACUAUAAAUUAUACUGUAGUUUCAUUUAGUUUCUAAAAUAAGGAUUGUAUUAAGCCAUUCUUGCAUUGCUAUAUAAAACUACCUGAGAUGGGAUAAUUUAUGAAGAGGUUUCAUUGGCUUCCAGUUCUGCAGGCUUUACAGGAAGUAGAAUGCUGGCACCUGCUUGGCUUCUGGGGAAGCCUUAGGGAGCUUUCAAUCAUGGUUGAAGCUGCUGUCCGGGACCUGCAGAAUUAUCAGUGAUAAAAUCUAUUAAUUAGAAAGAUCUCUUAGACACAAAAAACCCUUCAAAAAAAUCAAUGAAUCCAGGAGCUGGGUUUUUGAAAAGAUUAACAAAAUAGACCACUAGCCAGACUAAUAAAGAAGAAAAGAGACAAGAAUCAAAUAGACACAAUAAAAAAUGAUAAAGGGGUUAUCACCACUGAUUCCACAGAAAUAUGAACUGCCAUCAGAGAAUAGUGUGAACACCUCUAUGCAAAUAAACUAGAAAAUCUAGAAGAAAUGGAUAAAUUCCUGGACACACACACUCUCCCAAGACUAAACCAGAAAGAAGUCGAAUCCCUGAAUAGAUCAAUAACAAGUUCUGAAAUUGAGGCAGUGAUUAACAGCCUACGAACCAGAAAAGCCCAGAACCAGACAGAUUCACAGCCAAAUUUUACCAGAGGUACAAAGAGGAGCUGGUACCAUUCCUUCUGAAACUAUUCCAAACAGUAGAAAAAGAAGGAAUCCUCCCUAACUCAUUUUAUGAGGCCAGCAUCAUCCUGAUACCAAAACCUGGCAGAGACAAAACAAAAAAUUUCAGGCCAACGUCUGCAAUGAACAUCGAUGCGAAAAUCCUCAAUAAAAUACUGGCAAACCAAAUCCAGCAGCAUAUCAAAAAGCUUAUCCACCACGAUCAAGUCAGCUUCACCCCUGGGAUGCAAGGCUGGUUCAACAUAUGCAAAGCAAUAAGCCUAAUCCAUCACAUAAACAGAACCAGUGACAAAAACCACAUGAUUAUCUCAAUAGAUACCGAAAAGGCCUUCAAUAAAAUUCAACAUCCCUUCAUGCUAAAAACUCUCAAACUAGGUAUUGAUGGAACAUAACAUAAUUAGAGCUGUUUAUGACAAAUCUACAGCCAGUAUCAUACUGAAUGGGCAAAAGCUGGAAGCAUUCCCUUUGAAAACUGGCACAAGGCAAGGAUGCCCUCUCUUACCACUCCUGUUCAACAUCGUAUUGGAAGUUCUGGCCAGGCCAAUCAGGCAAGAGAAAGAAAUAAAUAGGAAGAGAGGAAGUCAAACUGUCUUUGCAGAUGACAUGAUUGUAUAUUUAGAAAACCCCAUUGUCUCAGCCCAAACACUCCUUAAGCUGAUAAGCAACUUCAGCAAAGUCUCAGGAUACAAAAUCAAUGUGCAAAAAUCACAAGCAUUCCUAUAUAUCAGUAAUAGACAAGCAUAGAGCUAAAUCAUGGGUGAACUCCCAUUCAUAAUUGCUACAAAGAGAAUAAAAUGCCUAGUAAUAAAACUUAGAAGGGAUGUGAAGGACCUCUUCAAGGAGAACUACAAACCACUGCUCAAGGAAAAAGGACACAAAUGGAAAAACAUUUCAUGCUCAUGGAUAGGAAGAAUCAAUAUCGUGAAAAUAACCAUACUGCCCAAAGUAAUUUAUAGAUUCAAUGCUAUUUCCAUCAAGCUACCACUGACUUUCUUCGCAGAAUUAGAAAAAACUACUUUAAAUUUCAUAUGGAGCCCAAAAAAAGCCCAUAUAGCCAACACAGUUGUAAGCAAAAAGAACAAAGCUGGAAGUGUCACAGUAGACUUCAAACUAUACUAAAAGGCUACAGAAGCCAAAACAGCAUGAUACUGAUACCAAAACAGACAUAUAGACCAAUGGAACAGAACAGAGACCUCAGAAAUAACUACACAUCUACAGCCAUCAUCAUGAUCUUCGACAAACCUGAUAAAAACAAGCAACAGGAAAAGGAUUCCCUAUUUAUUAAAUGGUGCUGGGAAAACUGGCUAGCCGUAUGCAUAAAACUGAAAUUGGACCCCUUCCUUACACCUUAUACAAAAAUUAACUUAAGAUGGAUUAAAGACUUAAAUGUAAAACCCAAAACCAUAAAAACCCUAAAAGAAAAACUAGGCAAUACCAUUCAGGACAUAGGCAUGGGCAAAGACUUCAUGACUAAAACGCCAAAAGCAAUUGCAACAAAAACCUGAAUUGACAAAUGGGAUCUCAUUAAACUAAAGAGCUUCUGCACAGCAAAAGAAACUACCGUCAGAAUGAACAGGCAUCCUACAGAAUGGGAGAAAUUUUUCGCAAUCUAUCCGUCUGACAAAGGUCCAAUAUCCAGAAUCUACAAGGAAUGUAAACAAAUUUACAAGAAAAAACAACCCUAUCAAAAAGUGGGCAAAGGAUACGAACAGACACUUCUCAAAAGAAGACAUUUAUGCGGCCAACAAACAUGAAAAAAAGCUCAUCAUUCCCUGGUUUUUAGAGAAACGCAAAUCAAAACCACUAUGAGGUACCAUCUCACGCCAGUUAGGAUGGUGAUCAUUAAAAAGUCAGGAAACAACAGAUGCUGGUGAGUCUGUGGAGAAAUAGGAAUGCUUCUACACUGUUGGUGGGAGUGUAAACUAGUUCAAGCAUUGUGGAAGACAGUGUGGUGAUUCUCAAGGAUCUAGAACCAGAAAUACCAUUUGACCCAGCAAUCUCACACUAGUGGGUAUAUACCCAAAGAAUUAUAAAUCAUUCUACUAUAAAGACUCAUGCACACAUAUGUUUAUUGCAGCACUAUUUACAAUAGCAAAGACUUGGAACCAACCCAAAUGUCCAUCAGUGAGAGACUGGAUAAAGAAAAUGUGGCACAUAAUAUACCAUGGAAUACUAUGCAGCCAUAAAAAUGAGUUAUGUCCUUUGCAGGGACAUGGAUGAAGCUGGAAGCCAUCAUUCUCAGCAAACUAACACAGGAACAGAAAACCAAGCACUGCAUGUUCUCACUCAUAAGUGGGAGUUGAACAGUGAGAACACAUGGACACAGGGGAACAUCACACACUGGCGCCUGUCGGGGCAUUGGGGGUAAGGGGAGGGAGAGCAUUAGGACAAAUACCUGUGGGACUCAAAACCUAGAUGAUGGGUUGAUAGGUGCAGCAAACCAUCAUGGCACAUGUAUACCUAUGUAACAAACCUGUACGUUCUGUAUGUGUAUUCCAGAACUUAAGAAAGCUCUCUUAGUUUUGACCUGACUUCUCUAUCUGCAGCAUGUAUUCUUUGCCCCUGGGGAAUAUAAAACAAGCUUCAUCCAAUUUCUGCAUUAUAGCCCUUAGAUACUUUGAAGAUAAUUAUGACUUUUAAGUAUCUUUGGAUUUUUCUUUUUCUUUUUUUUUGAGAUGGAGUCUGGCUCUGUUGCCCAGGCUGGAAUGCACUGGCGCAAUCUCGGCUCACUGCAAGCUCCGCCUCCCGGGUUUGUGCCAUUCUCCUGCCUCAGCCUCCCUAGUAGCUGGGACUACAGGCGCCCGCCACCACGCCCGGCUAAUUUUUGUAUUUUUAGUAGAAACGGGGCUUUAUCAUGUUAGCCAGGAUGGUCUUGAUCUCCUGACCUCGCAAUCCACCCACCUCGGCCUCCCAAAGUGCUGGGAUUACAGGCGUGAGCCACCGCGCCCAGCCGGAUUUUUCUUAAUGAAAACUCACAGAUAGCAUCAUUUGAAAUAAGGUUAGUGUUUGAGAAUCGGUUAUAUAAGUCAGUCUAAAAAUAGAUCACAGUAGGAAAUACCCUGUGAAUUUUGUUACUGUAUCGGCAAAUUUGCAUUCCUCCUCUGUGUGUACUUUGCAUGCAAAUAUAGCAACAUUGCCCUAAGUAAAUAAAAUGGUUCUAGACAAAAACCUGGUUACAAAGUAGACACCAAAUUUCACUGGAAAUAACCAGUAAUACACUUGGAGAUAAGUUACCAAACAAGAGUGUAGGAGAACCAAAUGAUUGCCAAAGACUACGAAUUUGGAAGAGAUACAUCAGAAGAUAAGCGGAGGCACAGAAGUGGAAAUGAAACUAUGCCAUGUGGUGUACAGGUUCAAAACUGUUUUGCUGAAUUCCUCAGUUCAAGAUACCCUCAAGAACAAUUUUCAUUCUAGCUGUGGAGCACUAGGGAACACAGGAGGGUCAGUGAUGGCAUUCCCCAUAGUUAGGUGACAUCCGUAUAUCUGGAAAUGCUGAUUUCAGUAGCAGCUUCUCUUAUGAAUUCAGGAAAAAAUGCUCAUGCUUUUGACUCAUUCUAAAUUGUGAAAUCUUUUUUGAGAGUUAAAAAAAAUUAGAAGAGAUGUUUAAGGUGUAAAUAAAUAUGUUAUCCUAGAUAAUCUGUGGAAUUUUCAAAACAAUAUGGUAUUUUUUUAAGUCACACUUUAAAAUAUGGUGAUUUUUUUGUUCUUGUUUUACUGGUUGUGUUUCUGUAUUGGUUAAUCUGGAGAGGAAAUAAGAGUGAAGACUGUGUUUUUUGUGGUCAGCAGCCUUAUACGACAGCGGAAGCAGCCUCUGCGUUUAUAGAGGAGGGUCAGCUGUACCUGUGAUUUAUCUUGGUGUCUUCUCCAGUGUCUCUUCUAACUAGUGUUUAUCUUCUGGGAUUACCAAAUUUGGCUGGCCAUCCAAAUUGCCAGAGAAGCUUCUUAAAAAACAUAGAUUCUCAGGUUCCAUCUUCCAAGGUUCUGAUAGUGUCUGCAAAGCUCUAUAGGCAUGCUAAUGAAAUAAUGGGUUCGGAAAAGAAUGAUUGCCAUAAAUAAAAUAGUAUACACAGUCAUUCACCACAUAACAAUGUUUUCAUCAGCAGUGGAGCACAUACCAGAAGGUGAUCUCAGAAGAUGAUAAUACCUUGUUUUCCUGUACCCUUUCUAUGUUUAGAUACACAAAUGCUUACCCAAGUGUUAUAGUUGCCUCCAGUAUUCGGCACAGGAACAUGCUGUACAGAUUUGUAGCCUAUCAGUAGGCUACACCAUAUAGCCUAGGUGUGUAGUGGCUACUGCAUCCGUGUUUGUGCAGGUGUACUCUAGGAUGAUGUUUGUCCAAGAACAGAAUCUCCUAAAAGAUGAAUUUCUUAAAAUGUGGUCUCCUGGCUAAGCGACCUGUGACUGUACUUUACCUUUCAUUUAGAUGUCACAAAACUCUUUUAAAGAAAACUAUUUAAGAUUAUAUACUUUCAAAUAUGUACCUUAAAAUAUGUGAAUUAAGAAUAUGUUAAUAGUUUAUUUAAAAAGAAGGAUGUGUAAUUGUAGGGAUAAAAUAUGGCUUAUAAUUUUAUUCAAAUCAAGUCUAGUUUAUUCUUUGAAUCUAAAAUUCUGGCUGUUGAGAGCCAAAUAAUUUAUGACUAUUUAAUAAUAUGUAUUAUUUAGAGUAAUAUAUGCAUACUUAUACAAUUAAGACUGAUAUACAAUACAAUUAUAUGUUAUAGAGAAUAAGAAUAAUGUGUAAUUAACAUAUAAUUGACAAUACCAUGUACUAAAAUGCUUAUAAACAUAUAAAAGCAGUUCAGAGGAUGGAUAAUUAGAAAGCGUAAUGUCAAAGUAGGAGCAAAGUCAGGAAGAAUAAGCCCUUCUCAGGUCUGCUGAUGAAGUCGUGUGCGUGAGCAAGAUGGGUGUGGGGAGGCUGGAGCACAGCCUAGCGGGCUGCCACGUGUGCACAGGUGCACCAGCGCAGGAGAGGAGCAGCAGAGCCUGGUCCUGCCUGUCCUUUUCGUGCCGUGGCACUAUACGCAGGAGAUGGGACUCAGAGCGAGGCAGUUGCUGGGUGACAAGGACAGUAGUGUGGGCUGAGGGCAAAGGGUGAAAGUGAGUGAGGCCUGCUAUUUAGGCCUGGCAGAUUUCUCAGAGGUGACAUUAACACCCCCACCCCCCAACACACACACACACACACACACACACACACACACACUCAUCUGGAUGGGAGUUUGAAUUGUUACUAAGGAGAAACUGUUAGUGAACUUUCUUGCCAUUUCUGAAUCUGACCUUGACUGAAAAAUUGAGUAAAAAAUGAAGUUGGUAGGCUGUGAUUUAAUAAUAAUAACUUAAGUCACACACUAAUCUUCAUAAAAUAAAGGAAUUGUCUUUAUUCUUUUUUUGUUGUUUUUUUUGAGACGGAGUUUCGCUCUUGUUGCCCAGGCUGGGGUGCAAUGGCGUGAUCUCGGCUCACUGCAACCUCCACCUCCCAGGUUCAAGCGAUUCUCCUGUCUCAGCCUCCCGAGUAGCUGGGAUUACAGGCAUGCGCCACUGUGCUCGGCUAAUUUUUUGUUGUUUUUUUUAGUAGAGACAGAGUUUCUCCAUGUUGGUCAGGGUGGUCUCGAACUCCCGGCCUCAGGUGAUCCUCCUGCCUUGGCCUCCCAAAGUGCUGGGAUUACAGGCGUGAGCCAUCAUGCCUGGCCUCUGUCUAUUCUUAAUUCAAAAUUUGCACAUCCUAUUAAUGAGAUUUUUACUCCAUGGACAGUAAAACAAGCUUUAGAUCAGUGAGACUUGCGUUAUCUAAUGUUGGAUUCAAGUGUGAGCAUUGCUAACAGGAUUAGUACACGGGGUUUACUCCAACCUACCUUAAUGAUAAACUAUUAAAGAGCAUUUUGUGGAGUGCUUGAAUUGCUCUAGAGUCACAGAAAUGUGGUGGAGAAUAGAAACUGAUCUCACUGCAGUGCUCAGUUCUUGGCAGAGCUGAGGCCUAGAAAGAUUAAGCCCUUGUCUGAGGCCAUCCAGUGGAAAGGUAGCAAAGUUGGGACAGAAAUUUGCCUACCACUGGAUUCAGUGGAGUGUAAAUCUGUAGAAUACCACCUUUCUGCCCCAAAGAGCUUAUAAAAUCCUGAAUAAUUUGCCCCUCCUUGUAUUAACUGGAACCUAGAGCUAGAAAAACACUGUGUCACAUGUCAGGUUUCUGCAGGUCAGACUGAAGUAGCCAUUAUUCAGUGAUUUCUAUCUGUUCUCUUGGCAAAUCUGUCAGCUUUACUUUGAAAUUGUGUCAGCUCACCUUUCCUUUGCAAACUUGCAUCCAGAGUCUUAAAUGAAAACCCUGCUGUCUUUAUCUUCUAAUUAGUGUUUAUUGGAAGGGUCUGCCUGUAGACUUACUUUCUGUGUAGGCCUCAGCUCUGCUGGGGCUCCCUUGACAGUGCUGGGGAUUGCAUUGUCAUGGACGUUGAGAUUAGCUCCACAUUUCUUAUCUGUAUUCUAAUACGGCUGGAUGGCCCUGGGGCGUCCUCACAUACCUUCUGUGGGGAGCUCUUCCUCCAUCAUGGCCAAUCUGUCAUCUCUGUCAGGUCAUCGUAUAUUGAGUCUUUUUCCCCAAAUCAUCUACUAGACUCAUGAUUUCCUCUUAUUUUACUCCUUAGCUCCAUUAAUUUAAAUCACUUAUAAAACUGAAUUUCAUUAAGCGCUUUUAAUUGAAAGGGAGCCCUUACAACAUGAUGAUAUAUUUCCUGGGAACGCAUGCACAUCCCAUGAUUGAGUAAUACCAUAGCUGUGCUAGAUGUGCAUCCCUUUCUCUGCUGUUAGUCAUACAGUUAAUAUCCGUGGUAGAUUGUUCCAGAGGACAGAUCCGGUGGUAUGCUGGUAGCAGUUUAAUCUGAUUGCAAAGAGAUAUUUGAAAGUGGUCAGUGACCUGAAAUUUCUGAUUUCUGAAGUAAAUUACUUUUCAGUUUCCUAGGCUCCCUAGAAAUUAUUCAGAUAUUUACAAUAUCAUCUUACAUUGGGAGUUAUCCUGAUAUUCUUUGAUCAGUAAUUAUGUACUGAGCAUCUGCUGUGUAUCACAAUAUUCAGGCUGCAAGUACCUAGCACUAAGCUAGUUCCUGUAGAGGAUACAAAGUAAUGCAAAUUACUUAAGCGCCCCAUGCCUCAGCUUCUCCACAUUUAAAAUAGAGAUGAAACUCAUAUGCUAGAUCCACAUAUAGACCUGUGGGACACUUGUAGUAUUGAGAGAGAAUGUGAACACAGAACGCUGAGCAUACAAUAUGAUACUGUCGUAAAAGCACAUCCAAGAUAUGUUCCGCAAUUCUCCUACUUAGGAGUCAAAAGAAGAUGAGGAUUUGCCUGGAUGGAGGGAACAGGAUUCCACUUUGAAGCAAGUUCUCAUCCAUAGGAGAGCUCCUGGAGUAAGGGAAGGCUGCGAGUGUAGGGGAAUGGGGGGAAUGAUGCCAUCCUGCUUGCUUUAGCCUUUGGGGAAUUUGGUUGCCCUGUGAUCUCCAUCCUUGGAUCUUUGGUUCUCAUACCUGUCAGUUAUUACUGAGAACCCUCAAAGAACUUUCGUUACUCCAGGUUACAUCUAUCUGUAUGUACUGUGUUAGUAAUUAAAAACUCAGAAAUUAUUUAUUUAGUUAUUCAUUUAAAAUGAACAGUAAUGAACCCAUAAAUGACGUUUUUAAUGAAAGGUAACUAUAUUUCCAAAACAAACAAAAAAUAAUGAGAAUCGCAUUGCCUUGUUGCAGACCUUUGUACUGUCUGGUUUGAUAUCAGAUGGCUGAUUUUUCAUUAUCUGUUCUGCAUUCAUUCUCGUGUGUUUUUCAUAUCCAUAAGACUGAAUAUAUGAAGAAAACCCAUUCUCAUACAAAUACACAGUUGAUGGAGGGCAGACUCUUUUAUUAGCCUUUUCAAAUACGGAUAUUCUUUUUUGAUGCUACAAUAAAACUCAACAAGUAGUAAUUUCUUAAAGGGUACUUGAAGUAUGAAAUCUGAAAUGCUGUCAGUGAGCUUUUUAUACCUUGUUACGCUAAAAUCCAUUGAGCUAGCUUAAAUGCUGAAGGGAUUCUUUUGCCCACUUAGGAUUUUGUAACCUGCAUUAUUCACUUGGAAAAUAAUUGAUUGACAUAGAUCUUCGAAAUGCCAACAAUACCCAAAAAUCACAUUUAAUAUCACCAAUCUCAUCACAGAAAAGUCUUAAAUAUUGUAAAGCUGUCAAGCUCAGGAUAGCUGAUGAAAAUUGUUCCAAACUUUUAAUUUUGCUUAAAAGCUCAGAUGUUAUUGACCACGAGGAUAAAGUUCAUUUAAGUUACAGGUUCACUUUGUUUAUUGUUGAAAAAAAUCUGCAUUGUUCCAGUUAGCCAUAGUUUGUCAGUUCUUUCAAUCAGAGGUGGUGUCCUAUGAGAAAAAAGCGCCUAAUUUCACUCACAAGACAAACAAUUGGAUAAGUGCAUUUCUUCACAACAACCAGUGUACUCGGUGUAUGGGGGAGUGUUUCCUGUGCCGUCUACAGCAUGUUACAGAGUUCUGUGCUUAGGGGUCCAGGUUUAGUGAGAGUAAUUGUGACUAAGUAAAAUUGGCUUUUUGACUGUGAGCACCUGGCAGUGGAGAAUAACUCCCAUUUAGCGAGGUGCCACUGUCUUGACUUGCACUCACAGUCCGGUAGUUUGAUCUGCUGUGGCUUUUGCACCAUCAGACCACAUGUCAGCACUGGGAGGAAGGCACUUCUUAGCAUUGUUGUGAAGUAGUUUGACUUAGAGGACACUAAGGUUUCUGCAGACUACACUUGAGAAUUACUGCUCUGUGGUAUAAUAGCAGUUGCCAAAGUGUCAGACCAAAAAUACAUAUUUUGGUGGGACCAUAGUCUUAUCUUUGAUCUGUUAACAGAAGUCAGGCGUUUCACAUUGGCCCUACUGAAACCAUUCUUUCUUCUGAAUUCUAUUUAUUCCAUUGUAACUUGGAAAGCAACACAUUGUAUAUCAUCUGGUAUAGGUGAAUGCAAGACGAAAUGAUGAGGCAUUUUGAUCACCUCUUGUAAGAGAAGUGGACCUUUAAAUUCUUAGGAAAAGUUAAUCAACAUUUAACUGGACUGUUUACAUUUUGGUUUAUUUCCCCUA